Molecule: RNA transcript, 2992 nt
Organism: Callithrix jacchus (white-tufted-ear marmoset)
Lineage: Eukaryota; Metazoa; Chordata; Mammalia; Primates; Cebidae
Source: RefSeq, a predicted model, not a curated record
AUGUUUCUGGCAGGCCCAGAAGUGUUGGCCGUUCUUCCCCAGCCUCCCGCCUGCUCCCUCCUUUAUUCCCCACAUGAAGGUGGGGGGUGCUGGGACUGGGGAGGGGCAGCCACCUCCAUCUGAGGCUCUUCCUUGGGGCCUUGCUAGUGUGGACAGCAGACUUUAUCCCUCCUUCUUACUCUGGGCCAAAGCCUCCCACGCUGCCCUCUGAGGAUGGUACCAAGAGUGGGCCUUUGGGACUUCUCAGGACGUUGACAACGUGCACACUGCACGUUGACUUUAUUUAUUUAUUUUGUGAAAAGAAGGGACAGAAGAUACCUUUUUAUCUGCAGGGACUCAAAGCUGUACCCAAAUCAAGAAAGACAAAAUAACAAUAGAAACCAUUCAUACACUCCAUUCACCCAAGGACACCGGAAGACGAUUCAGAACACUAGAGGAGAAUAAGCCCGAGCUUCAGCACCACAGUGGCCCCUGGACAUUGAGAUCAUGGCCCAAUGCCGUAGUUCAUGGCGGGCAGAUUGCCUGAGCUCAGGAAUUUGAGACCAGCCUGGGCAACACAGUGAAUCCCAUCACUACUAAAAUACAAAAAAAAUUAGCCAGGUAUGGCAGCGGGUGCCUGUAGUCCCAGCUACUCAGGAGGCUGAGGCAGGAGAAUCACUUGAACCCCAGAGACGGAGGUUGUAAUGAGCUGAGAUUGUGCCACUGAACUUCAGCCUGGGCAACAGGGCAAAACUCCACCUCAGAAAAAAAAAAGAUCUGAGAUCCCUUGGUUUCUCUCGUGUUGAUCUGAGAUGCCACAUCAAGGCCCUUUCUGCUGUAUUAUCUCUGCCUGGGUGUUUAAGUCACAACUUAAGUGGGUGGAUGUUUCCUAGCAAUGGAUCCCUUGGGGCUCAGUGAUGCUCUGGGAACCUUGGGGUUUGGGGAAGGACUGUGGUGUGACUAUUGGCUUGACACGCUGUGGCUGUGGUUGGAGUCAUCCACGUGGACACAGUUUUCAGCUUGGAGCUGGGAUGGAGAAGGUGGAACCGCUUCAGACUGGGCCUCCUUUUUCAGUGAGGCCAGCCCUGGUUUCUCCUCUGUUUCAGCUGCUCUGCCAGAAGCCUUCCCCUGCAAAGUGCCCACCUGCCUGGAGACAGACGGAGCAGCGGAGGCCUCUCUCCACCGCCGCAGCCUCCCCAGCACAGAGGACCAUUCAGCAAUGAGUGUUACUCAUGUUCCUUCUUGUUGAUGAGUUCUGCAGCCCAGCCUAUAGCAAUGGCUCAGAACCUUCCAGGCCUUGGUGAGAUAGGGCAGUGUCUAAUGCUCGCAGGCUGUCCCCACUCUGCCUCUUGCCAUCUUCCCCUCAGGACCUGUUCAUAAAUUGGGGAAUGGACGAGAGCCCUGGAGGGUCCUUGGGAGUAGUUAGUGGAGGGCAGGAUUCCCAGGUCCCCAUAGAGAGGGCAAGAGAAGCCCAGAUGUGCACAGAAGCCCAUCUCUGUCACACGCACCCCAGCUGGUCACCGAGUUAUUUUCCAAAAGCUGAGGAACAUAAAUCAAAUUUAGGCUUUUGUCCCUCUUCAAUACAUGCACUUGAAAAUAACUAAACAAGCAAAAAAGAGAUGGUAAAUGACGAGUUUGUUUCCUGUCGGCUAGCACCCUCAGCCUGGGAGCUGCUGCUGGAGGCUGGCGUAGCGGGGCAGCUGCUGACCAAACCCACAGAACAGAGGGCACCAGGCAUCACAUGACAUCUAUCUCUGCCAUCUGUCUGGCAAUGGAAGGAGCUCCAGCAGGAGUCCUCCUCUGAGUCAUCCUCUCCUAUACUAGGACCUAUUUUAAUUGACCGGAGGGGCCCAGUGCAGUGGUUCACACCUGUAAUCCCAGCAUUUGGGGAGGCCAAGAUGGGAGGAUUGCUUGCGUCCAGGAGUUGGAGACCAGCCUGGGCAACAUGGGGAGACCAGUUAACUGUAGGGCUUGUCCCUUGCUAGGACAGGAACAGAAGACUGGAUGGCUGUGUCCUCAAGGCAGUCCCCUCCCACCCCCAUUCCCAAAGUCUGAAAGCAAAACCAGCUCUCAAAGGGCUGAUUCCUGAGGCAAGGAGAGAGAAUGGGGGCGUGGUGGGAGCAGACGCCUGCACAAGCCAACUGGGUCUUAUUGAUCUGUCCAAGCUGAUAGAAGGACCCUCUGCUGGAAUCCAGGGCUCCUGAGUUAUUGGGUUUGUUUGUGAAGCUUCUAGGACAAGUCGCAGCCAGAUGGAAGGGAGGGCCCAGGGCUUCCUGGACUCGCUGCAGUUUCAGAGAUAGUGGAAGUUGCUCUGUACCUCAAAAGCAUAAAGCAGAAUUGGCAACUUCACAUGUCUCAAGAGCUUCAAGAUCCUUUGGUCUCAUGUCCUUUGGCAUCCCGUAACUGUAUGCGGGACAAAUCUGAACAUGUUUCCAAGGCUACAGACAUGGUACCUUCUCAUGGACCUAGCUCAGGCACCUAGAUCAGGUACUUCGCUGGGGAAAUGAAAUGACCCACGUGGUCUGCUUCCUCUGCCAUUGGCUUGAACUGGGCACCCCCUGAAGUCUCCAUCUCAGCUGUAUUUUCUGGUCCACGUUUGCCUGACUCCCCCUGCUUCUGCCUGGGUCCUGCACACUGUCCUUUUGCCAACACCUCUGCCCUGUGUCCUCUUUCAUGUCUGCAUGGUAUGAUAACCCUUCGUGGCAUACAUAGCCACAGUAUGUACAUAUGCGCCCACGUGUGUGUGUGUGUGUGUGUGUGUAGCAUGUAGCCCAUUCUGCUCAGCCUCUGGCACUGCUCCACAUUGCUCCCAGCCCCACUGCUGUCACUGUUGUCCCAGAUGUCCUUGCUGUGGCCACAGACAAUCUGCCAUCUCCUGGAAGUGCUGGGGCUGCCCUUCAGAGAGCUGGCAGCCGCCAGCAGUCAGGGCCUGCUUUGCAGACUAGAAUGUGAACCCCUCUCCUGUUGGCCUACUUGACUUAUUUAAUUAAAAAUGAAAACAUGCAAUGAGCAA